AUGGCGGGGGAGGGGAGGCCGGACUCGCAGCUCUUCCAGCUCCUCACCGACCUUCUGCAGGAGGUGGAGUCAAUGAGCAACCAGGAAGAGGUAGAAUUGAGAGCAAAGAUUGAAGCGCUGGGCCUAGAAGUCACUAAGGUUCCAGAGAAGGCACCUAAGCAACUUGAUGAGUUAGAGAUAGCCGCAGAGCUGGACAGGUUGUCGGCAAGGCUCGAUAAUGUCGACAAGAUGAUAUCAUCUGCCAUGACAUCUGACCCAGAGGUGAAAUCGCUUCUGAGCAGCACCGCCGAUGUCUGGAUGCCCGUCAUCACCGCGUCUGCUGAUGAAAGGCGAGGGUUUGCGGAAACAAGCGGUGACAAGGAAGAGCAAGAGAAAUCUAAGUAA
RNAcentral lists this ribosomal RNA (384 nucleotides) under Triticum aestivum (bread wheat). RNAcentral's name for it is "partial small subunit ribosomal RNA". The record is from RNAcentral. Lineage: Eukaryota; Viridiplantae; Streptophyta; Magnoliopsida; Poales; Poaceae.